UCCUUUUAAAUUUAGCGUUAUAGCCAAACAUGCAGCUGAGAUGUUAACUGCGAGUAAGAAUGGAAUUUAUGGAUGAACCUCGCAAACAACCGUUGCAGCACUCUAGAGACCAAAUAAGAAAUCGAUGCAGUGGCUAGGACCAGCGAAAGAAAAGAAAAACAACGCCUUUACUUUUUUGCAAUCCAUUACGCGCCAUAUAUUAUUAAUCAAACAAAAAUGAUUGAAUAAAAUUCUAAGAAAACCUUUUAA
Dalotia coriaria is the source of this 249-nucleotide long non-coding RNA. RefSeq lists it as uncharacterized. The record is from RefSeq and is a predicted model, not a curated record. NCBI's taxonomy places the organism in Eukaryota, Metazoa, Arthropoda, Insecta, Coleoptera, Staphylinidae. The transcript is spliced from 2 exons.